RNAcentral lists this ribosomal RNA (474 nucleotides) under Yarrowia deformans. RNAcentral's name for it is "eukaryotic LSU rRNA". It matches the Rfam family "Eukaryotic large subunit ribosomal RNA", at positions 62 to 504 of the family's 3401-position model. The record is from RNAcentral. Lineage: Eukaryota; Fungi; Ascomycota; Dipodascomycetes; Dipodascales.
AAACCAACAGGGAUUGCCUCAGUAACGGCGAGUGAAGCGGCAAAAGCUCAAAUUUGAAACCCUCGGGAUUGUAAUUUGAAGAUUUGGCAUUGGAGAAAGCUAACCCAAGUUACUUGGAAUAGUACGUCAUAGAGGGUGACAACCCCGUCUGGCUAACCGUUCUCCAUGUAUUGCCUUAUCAAAGAGUCGAGUUGUUUGGGAAUGCAGCUCAAAGUGGGUGGUAAACUCCAUCUAAAGCUAAAUACUGGUGAGAGACCGAUAGCGAACAAGUACUGUGAAGGAAAGGUGAAAAGAACUUUGAAAAGAGAGUGAAAUAGUAUGUGAAAUUGUUGAUAGGGAAGGAAAUGAGUGGAGAGUGGUUUAGGUUUCAGCCUUCUUUCGAGGGGGUGCACUACCAACGCCGAGUCAUUGAUAGCGAGACAGGGGUUAUAAACGGACGGCACUUGUGCUAUUCUCCUAACCCCUCUACUGCCA